RNAcentral lists this transfer RNA (69 nucleotides) under Pseudis tocantins. RNAcentral describes it as "tRNA-Val". It matches the Rfam family "tRNA". From Rfam's summary of the family: Transfer RNA (tRNA) molecules are approximately 80 nucleotides in length. Their secondary structure includes four short double-helical elements and three loops (D, anti-codon, and T loops). Further hydrogen bonds mediate the characteristic L-shaped molecular structure. tRNAs have two regions of fundamental functional importance: the anti-codon, which is responsible for specific mRNA codon recognition, and the 3' end, to which the tRNAs corresponding amino acid is attached (by aminoacyl-tRNA synthetases). tRNAs cope with the degeneracy of the genetic code in two manners: having more than one tRNA (with a specific anti-codon) for a particular amino acid; and 'wobble' base-pairing, i.e. permitting non-standard base-pairing at the 3rd anti-codon position. The record is from RNAcentral. Lineage: Eukaryota; Metazoa; Chordata; Amphibia; Anura; Hylidae.
CAAAACAUAGCUUAAUUAAAGCAUCUCGCUUACACCGAGAACAUGCCCGUGGGACUCGAGCUGUUUUGA